Molecule: transfer RNA, 70 nt
Filed under: Zeugopterus punctatus (topknot)
Lineage: Eukaryota; Metazoa; Chordata; Actinopteri; Pleuronectiformes; Scophthalmidae
Description: tRNA-His
Rfam family: tRNA
About the family: Transfer RNA (tRNA) molecules are approximately 80 nucleotides in length. Their secondary structure includes four short double-helical elements and three loops (D, anti-codon, and T loops).
Source: RNAcentral
GUAGGUAUAGUUUAAAUAAAAAUAUUAGAUUGUGAUUCUAAAGACAGGGGCCAGUCCCCCCUUACCCACC